This 702-nucleotide ribosomal RNA is filed under the name uncultured Colwellia sp. RNAcentral's name for it is "bacterial SSU rRNA". It matches the Rfam family "Bacterial small subunit ribosomal RNA", at positions 56 to 749 of the family's 1533-position model. Lineage: Bacteria; Pseudomonadati; Pseudomonadota; Gammaproteobacteria; Alteromonadales; Colwelliaceae. The record is from RNAcentral.
UGCAGUCGAGCGGUACAGAGAUAGCUUGCUAUCUGCUGACGAGCGGCGGACGGGUGAGUAAUGCUUGGGAAUAUGCCUUAUGGGGGGGACAACAGUUGGAAACGACUGCUAAUACCGCAUAACGUCUACGGACCAAAGGGGGGGAUCUUCGGACCUCUCGCCAUUUGAUUAGCCCAAGUGAGAUUAGCUAGUUGGUGAGGUAAUGGCUCACCAAGGGGACGAUCUCUAGCUGGUUUGAGAGGAUGAUCAGCCACACUGGGACUGAGACACGGCCCAGACUCCUACGGGAGGCAGCAGUGGGGAAUAUUGCACAAUGGGCGAAAGCCUGAUGCAGCCAUGCCGCGUGUGUGAAGAAGGCCUUCGGGUUGUAAAGCGCUUUCAGUUGUGAGGAAAGGGGUGUAGUUAAUAGCUGCAUUCUGUGACGUUAACAACAGAAGAAGCACCGGCUAAGUGCGUGCGAGCAGCCGCGGUAAUACGAGGGGUGCAAGCGUUAAUCGGAAUUACUGGGCGUAAAGCGUUCGUAGGCGGUCUAUUAAGCAAGAUGUGAAAGCCCAGGGCUCAACCUUGGGAACUGCAUUUUGAGCUGGUAGACUAGAGUACUGUAGAGGGUGGUGGAAUUUCCAGUGUAGCGGGUGAAAUGCGUAGAGAUUGGAAGGGAACACCAGUGGCGAAAGCGGCCACCUGGACAGAUACUGACGCUGA